CUGCAGAUGCCCUAGAGAGACUGCAAUCAUCACCGAAGGCAGAGGACUUCAGCUACAGGAGCCAUGUAGAGUAAUGUCAAGGGAUAGUCAGCCAAUCUUUAACUUAAAGCUCAAAUUUGAUUAGGGCUUUAUUUGUUGAUCGAACCUGUGCUGAAAUGAAAAACCAUGGCUGUCUUAAUGAACCUGAAAUCUCCAAUGGAAUUCCCUCAGAUUUGUUUAAAAGUGCCCAAGACUUGCUCAGCUUCAUCAAACUUUUCAGCACUUGAAUUAUUUACAGCACUGAAGUCCUGCUAGAAGAUUACUCUGAGAUGGCCAGCUUUGUCCUAGUUGCUUACUGAGAUACUGUAUAGCAAGUUACCAAAUAAAGAGCACAACAACGUUCUAGAAGAA
Molecule: long non-coding RNA, 390 nt
Organism: Chelonia mydas (Green sea turtle)
Lineage: Eukaryota; Metazoa; Chordata; Testudines; Cheloniidae
Exons: 3
Source: RefSeq, a predicted model, not a curated record